GCAUCGUGUGAGAACUAUGAAUCUACUAACUUUAUAGAGAAAUAAGUUUCAGGUAGGAACUAAAAGGACCCUGCAACUUCAAACAUGACUAAGAAAUGACUAUUCUAUGAAAUGCCUUCUAGUAGCAGUUUUGUGUCAAGAAAUUAAUUAAGAAACACUUUCUUUAUUUCUGUUUCUCUUUCUCUUCUUUUUCUUUCUCUUUAGCGUAACUACUUGCUUCAUAAGUUAAAAAUGGAUCCAAGGUGAUCAUCUGCUAAUAUUACUGCCACAAGUUCAUUUUUUUCUACAGAAAUCUUUGGAAGUUUUAUUUCCA
Molecule: unclassified non-coding RNA, 313 nt
Filed under: Hevea brasiliensis (rubber tree)
Lineage: Eukaryota; Viridiplantae; Streptophyta; Magnoliopsida; Malpighiales; Euphorbiaceae
Source: RNAcentral